GAUGAACGCUGGCGGCGUGCCUAAUACAUGCAAGUCGAGCGAACAGACGAGGAGCUUGCUCCUCUGACGUUAGCGGCGGACGGGUGAGUAACACGUGGAUAACCUACCUAUAAGACUGGGAUAACUUCGGGAAACCGGAGCUAAUACCGGAUAAUAUAUUGAACCGCAUGGUUCAAUAGUGAAAGACGGUUUUGCUGUCACUUAUAGAUGGAUCCGCGCCGCAUUAGCUAGUUGGUAAGGUAACGGCUUACCAAGGCAGCGAUGCGUAGCCGACCUGAGAGGGUGAUCGGCCACACUGGAACUGAGACGCGGUCCAGACUCCUACGGGAGGCAGCAGUAGGGAAUCUUACGCAAUGGGCGAAAGCCUGACGGAGCAACGCCGCGUGAGUGAUGAAGGUCUUCGGAUCGUAAAACUCUGUUAUUAGGGAAGAACAAAUGUGUAAGUAACUAUGCACGUCUUGACGGUACCUAAUCAGAAAGCCACGGCUAACUACGUG
Molecule: ribosomal RNA, 497 nt
Filed under: uncultured bacterium
Lineage: Bacteria
Description: partial 16S ribosomal RNA
Rfam family: Bacterial small subunit ribosomal RNA
Source: RNAcentral